AUGGCGGCGAUGUUCCGGCGCCUGGGCCUUGACCCGGCUGAGGUGGAGGGCUUCCUCGCCCGCGUCCUCUCCUACACCCACUACGCCCUCCCAGAGCCGCCCGUGACGGCCGACGCUCGCCUCUUCGCUCUCCUCCCCGGUGACUCCGUCGACCGCGUCAGCCGCCUCCCCGACGCGCUCCUCGGCUACAUCGUCUCCCCCAUCCCCAUCAAGGAUGCCGCGCGCACCGUGGCGCUCUCCCGGCGCUGGCGCGGGGUCUGGCGCUCCGCCCCGCUCGUCAUCGUCGACACUCACAUCCACCCCGCGGGCAUCGCAUACGCGCAGCUCGUCACCUGCGCCGUCUCCCACGUCCUCGCCGCGCACCCGGGCCCUUUCGCUGCGAGCCCCGUGCUGGAGACGAUGUGUCUCGAAGGGGAGAUGUUCGAGCAUUGCAUCCGCCUUGUCAACCAAAGCCUGUGGCGCGUGCAGAUCAUCGGGUGCUGGGUUGAAGAAAUCUUCGUGGUGGACGCGCCAUGCCUUGAGCGGCUCAUCCAGUCGGGAGGCUGGAGCCCUGAAGACCAUGAUGGCAACCGCACCAAGGUGAUGAUUGGCCAUGCCCCCAAGUUGCACAUGUUAGGAUACUUGGAGUUGGACCCAGGACACGUCCUAGAGGUCGGCAACACCAUCAUCAAGGCUGGGACAAGGGUGAGCCCGAGCACCAUGGUACCAAGUAUGGGGAUCCUGGCUUUGGAGGUGCGUUUCAGAGUCCGCAACGAUGCCAAGAUGGUUCCCAAUGUCCUCAGAGUGCAUUCGGUCGCGCAUCAAGCUGCUAGUUUCCAUGAUUUCCGAGGGGGCCGAGCUGAGCUCGCCUUCGUCAAAUACUUCUUUGAGUCUGCAUUGGUGCUGAAGAAGGUGGUGAUUCUGUUCACCGUUGGCUUCUCUUCGAUGAAGGAGGCGCAGUCCAAACUGUCGAGUCUGGGGUCAGUGAAACGGGCCAGUGAAACCUCUACAGUGCUGGUCAACGUACCUUCUGAUCCUCAAGUAGGUUCCAUUCGGAGCUUCAAAAUAGGAUCCGGUUUUUCUGCUGACGACCCUUUUGCAAACUACUGA
RNAcentral lists this ribosomal RNA (1089 nucleotides) under Triticum aestivum (bread wheat). Its description in RNAcentral is "partial small subunit ribosomal RNA". The record is from RNAcentral. Lineage: Eukaryota; Viridiplantae; Streptophyta; Magnoliopsida; Poales; Poaceae.